This 567-nucleotide long non-coding RNA is filed under the name Fukomys damarensis (Damara mole-rat). RNAcentral's name for it is "lncRNA (ENSFDAG00000029987.1)". The record is from RNAcentral. Lineage: Eukaryota; Metazoa; Chordata; Mammalia; Rodentia; Bathyergidae.
CAGACGUGGAAUAAAUAAGAUCAGCCACGAACCAGCACUUCACGCAGUGUCAAGUACUAUGGACUACUCGGGAAUUGUUGCAGAGUCUCCGUAAUGAGAAACAGAGCUCCUUGCAACAAUUAUUUUUGGUGACCCCUACUGUGCAGCUGAAAAGUGUGCUUUUCACUAGUGAUUCAGUGAGAACCGAAGCCUGCGGUCGCUGGCUGCUGAAGGGUGGUAAACCCGCUGGAGGAUUUUAACAAGAUCACGCUUGUGCUGCAGUGAAACCAUUACUUUAAGGAUGUGAGCUGCUUCGUCCUAUCCAUGGUGUAGGAUUUUUCCACGAGAGUAUAACAAGUGUUACUACCGCCACACUUAAGAAAAACACCUCUUCCAGACUCAGGAAUUCAAGGAAGUCUCACCACGCUACUGUGAGAGCUAAAUUAGAGGGAACACUUUCUACUCCUGUUUACUGGAAGGAGAGUGACAAAGAAGACAAUGAUGGACUGAAAUGGAAAGACACUCAGAAGUACAGAGACAAGUUUCUUCGAGAACACGCUACUGAACCAGUGGACAGAAGGGAGAACC